Molecule: ribosomal RNA, 497 nt
Filed under: uncultured bacterium
Lineage: Bacteria
Description: partial 16S ribosomal RNA
Rfam family: Bacterial small subunit ribosomal RNA
Source: RNAcentral
GAUGAACGCUGGCGGCGUGCUUAAUACAUGCAAGUCGAGCGAACAGACGAGGAGCUUGCUCCUCUGACGUUAGCCGCGGACGUGUGAGUCACACGUGUAUAACCUCCCUAUAAUAGUGGGAUCACUUGGGGACUCCGGCGCUUAUCCCGGAUAAUAUAUUGCACCGCAUGGUUGAAUAGAAAGAUUCGGCUUUGGUGUCAGUACUAGAUGGAUCUGCGCCUCAUUAGCUGGUUGUUAAGGUAACGGCUUACGAAGGCGACGAUGCGUAGACGACGGGAGAGGGGGGUAGGCCACAUUGGAGGGUGGCCACGGUCCAGAGGCCUACGGGACGGCGCAGUAGGGUAUCUGCCGCAAUGGGGGAAAGUCUGACGGAGUGAGGCGGCGUGAGUGAUGAAGGUCUUCGGAUCGUAAAACUCUGUUAUUAGGGAAAAACAAAUGUGUAAGGAACUAUGCACGUAUUGACGGUACUGAAUCAGAAAGCCACGGCUAACUACGUG